Molecule: non-coding RNA, 114 nt
Filed under: Paenibacillus sp.
Lineage: Bacteria; Bacillati; Bacillota; Bacilli; Caryophanales; Paenibacillaceae
Also listed under: 1 other name
Description: TPP sequence
Rfam family: TPP riboswitch aptamer (THI element)
About the family: Vitamin B(1) in its active form thiamin pyrophosphate (TPP) is an essential coenzyme that is synthesised by coupling of pyrimidine and thiazole moieties in bacteria. The previously detected thiamin-regulatory element, thi box was extended, resulting in a new, highly conserved RNA secondary structure, the THI element, which is widely distributed in eubacteria and also occurs in some archaea. Analysis of operon structures identified a large number of new candidate thiamin-regulated genes, mostly transporters, in various prokaryotic organisms.
Source: RNAcentral
GAAUACGACCAUGGGAGUCCGGGGGGAACCGGGCUGAGAGUACGGCUGAGCCGCCGUUAACCAUUUGAACCUGUUGGGUCAUGCCAGCGUAGGGAGAGGUGGAUCAACACACUU